RNAcentral lists this ribosomal RNA (468 nucleotides) under uncultured bacterium. RNAcentral describes it as "partial 16S ribosomal RNA". It matches the Rfam family "Bacterial small subunit ribosomal RNA", at positions 28 to 507 of the family's 1533-position model. The record is from RNAcentral.
GACGAACGCUGGCGGCGUGCUUAACACAUGCAAGUCGAACGGAAAGGCCCUGCUUUUGUGGGGUGCUCGAGUGGCGAACGGGUGAGUAACACGUGAGUAACCUGCCCUUGACUUUGGGAUAACUUCAGGAAACUGGGGCUAAUACCGGAUAGGAGCUCCUGCUGCAUGGUGGGGGUUGGAAAGUUUCGGCGGUUGGGGAUGGACUCGCGGCUUAUCAGCUUGUUGGUGGGGUAGUGGCUUACCCAGGCUUUGGCGGGUAGCCGGCCUGGGAGGGUGACCGGCCACAUUGGGACUGAGAUACGGCCCAGACUCCUACGGUAGGCAGCAGUGGGGAAUAUUGCACAAUGGGCGGAAGCCUGAUGCAGCAACGCCGCGUGCGGGAUGACGGCCUUCGGGUUGUAAACCGCUUUCGCCUGUGACGAAGCGUGAGUGACGGUAAUGGGUAAAGAAGCACCGGCUAACUACGUG